This 231-nucleotide transfer-messenger RNA is filed under the name Myxococcales bacterium. Its description in RNAcentral is "partial transfer-messenger RNA". It matches the Rfam family "transfer-messenger RNA", at positions 135 to 374 of the family's 374-position model. From Rfam's summary of the family: Bacterial tmRNA, also known as 10Sa RNA or SsrA, is named for its dual tRNA and mRNA-like properties. The record is from RNAcentral. Lineage: Bacteria; Pseudomonadati; Myxococcota; Myxococcia; Myxococcales.
AAGGGAGCCGUCGAACCUAGAAGCUUGCCUGUGCUUCUAGCGGAGGCGUCAUUUGAACGGGCUGGUCAUUGCGAGUCGGGUUCGGCGCGAUGACGAGAUAAAGAACCACUAGCGUUGGUGCGAGCCUGUUUGUGGGCGCAAACCAAGGCGAAUUUCAAACCACAAACUACGCACGUAGAUGUCAUUCUGGACCGUUUUCGGACGUGGGUUCGAUUCCCACCGCCUCCACCA